This 1532-nucleotide long non-coding RNA is filed under the name Ananas comosus (pineapple). Its description in RNAcentral is "long non-coding RNA (ACOM_LNC006837)". The record is from RNAcentral. Lineage: Eukaryota; Viridiplantae; Streptophyta; Magnoliopsida; Poales; Bromeliaceae.
UUUUAUAUAGUGUAGAUUGUAUCUAUUAUAUUAUACUUUAAUUUUAAAAUAUUAAUAAUUAAAAAUGUAUUUAGUGGAUGUUAUAUAUUAAUAGACUAGAUGCAUUUAAUAUUCUAAUUGUUGAAGUGAGAGAGUUGGGGUGUAACUUGUGCUUAUGUGACUCAACUCUCCUUUAAUGUAGAAAGUACACUACAACAAAAUGGUCUAUAGCAACACUUUUAAAUAUCGGUAUAGGUUAAAAAAAGUGCUGCUGGCUAAAUUACCGACACUUUUAAAAAGUGUUGCUAUAUGUGGGGCCACUAGAUAUAUAGUGACAGUUAAGAAUGUCGCUAUAAUCUAAAAAAGUGCUGCUAAUUUAGCAACACUUAUUUAAGCAUCUAGCAACCGCCGGAACUCUAUCUCGUUGACUGCGGUGGCGGAGGAGGACGAGAGGGAAGGGCCCUCCGUCUAGAAUUUCAGUGGAUUGAGAGAGAGAAAAAAGGGAGAUGGUAAUCGAUUUGGAAUCGGGCCAAAUGGGCUGGGUUGGGUGGGUUGAGUAUAGUAACCUUUUAUUUUUUGUUGGAUUCGGCUUUAUAUUUAGGCAUUAGUAGAUAUUUUUUUAAAUUUUGACAUAAAUGAGACACUUAGACAAAAGUGUCCUAAACAUGUGUCAUUAUAACUUAAUUCUGUUGUAGUGGUACCGUAUCGGUACUCCAAGCUGCAUAUCGGUACACAAUAAAAAUGGGCAACUACUUAUAUACUCCUGAAAAGUUCCUCAUUUUUCGAUUUACCCCUCUUAGAAGGCUAAUAUUGAAAAUACUCUUUCUACGUUCCAACCUAUUUCUAAUAUACCCCUAGCCACCGUUUGGUUCGAGAUUAAGUAAAAAUUUGUUAUUUCAGAGAUAGAAGGUUCAGGGUUAAGGUGGGGUUAGAAUAAUUUUGUGUUUGGUUGAGAAUUGGGUUUAGUCCAGAUAUAUGUAAAAUAAUAUUUGAUUGGAGUAGGUGGGAUAAGAAGGAUAAUGAGUAAAAUAGUAUUUUAUUUGGUUGGAGUAGUGGGGUAGGAUGGGGCCUCUCAAAUUGGGUGUUUGAAAAUAACUUCGGGGUUAAAGGGUUAUUCCACCCCUUAACCCCCAACCAAACGGGUGCCUAGAGUUAAAAUCUGUUAAUUAACUCUGUUAUAUUUGUAAAAUUACUAUUUUGCCCUUUCAAAUAUACCCUUCCAUUAUCACUGAUUUUCUUAUUUGCCCUUAAAGUCAGGGGCAUAAAAAUAUUUUGACUUUUGAUCUUUUCCAAUAUCCCCUCUACUGUUACCAACAUUUCUUAUUUGCCCUUAAGUUAAGGGCAAAAUUGGUAUUUUAAUUUUUUUUUAACUGAGUUAGAUAUUUAACUCAUGUUUAACCCUAGUUAACUUAACAGGAGAUAACUGCGGUGGUAUUUUUCAAUAAUGGUGGAACAUAUGAGGGAUAUAUUUAGUAGGGAUAAAUCAGAUAUCUUUAAACAUAUGAGGGGUAUAUAGGCAAUUAUUCCCAAUAAAGAAAAUAAUUUUUCAAGUU